This 460-nucleotide ribosomal RNA is filed under the name uncultured bacterium. Its description in RNAcentral is "partial 16S ribosomal RNA". It matches the Rfam family "Bacterial small subunit ribosomal RNA", at positions 338 to 795 of the family's 1533-position model. The record is from RNAcentral.
CCUACGGGUGGCAGCAGUGAGGAAUCUUUGUCAAUGGGCGCGAGCCUGAACCAGCCAAGCCGCGUGAAGGAUGACUGCCCUACGGGUUGUAAACUCCUUUUAUAAAGGAAUAAAGUGAGGCACGAGUGCCUUUUUGUAUGUACUUUAUGAAUAAGGAUCGGCCAACUACGUGCCAGCAGCCGCGGUAAUACGGAGGAUUCGAGCGUUAUCCGGAUGUGUUGGGUGUAAAGGGAGCGUAGAUGGGUUGGUAAGUCAGUUGUGAAAGUUUGGGGCUCAACCGUAAGAUUGCAAUUGAUACUGGCAGUCUUGAGUACAGGUGAGGGAGGCGGAAUUCGUGGUGUAGCGGUGAAAUGCUUAGAUAUCACGAAGAACUCCGAUUGCGAAGGCGGCUUACUAGACUGCCACUGACGUUGAUGCUCGAAAGUGUGGGUAUCAAACAGGAUUAGAUACCCUGGUAGUC